GAUGAACGCUGGCGGCGUGCCUAAUACAUGCAAGUCGAGCGAACGGACGAGAAGCUUGCUUCUCUGAUGUUAGCGGCGGACGGGUGAGUAACACGUGGAUAACCUACCUAUAAGACUGGGAUAACUUCGGGAAACCGUAGCUAAUACCGGAUAAUAUUUUGAACCGCAUGGUUCAAAAGUGAAAGACGGUCUUGCUGUCACUUAUAGAUGGAUCCGCGCUGCAUUAGCUAGUUGGUAAGGUAACGGCUUACCAAGGCAACGAUGCAUAGCCGACCUGAGAGGGUGAUCGGCCACACUGGAACUGAGACACGGUCCAGACUCCUACGGAGGCAGCAGUAGGGAAUCUUCCGCAAUGGGCGAAAGCCUGACGGAGCAACGCCGCGUGAGUGAUGAAGGUCUUCGGAUCGUAAAACUCUGUUAUUAGGGAAGAACAUAUGUGUAAGUAACUGUGCACAUCUUGACGGUACCUAAUCAGAAAGCCACGGCUAACUACGUG
RNAcentral lists this ribosomal RNA (496 nucleotides) under uncultured bacterium. RNAcentral's name for it is "partial 16S ribosomal RNA". It matches the Rfam family "Bacterial small subunit ribosomal RNA", at positions 28 to 507 of the family's 1533-position model. The record is from RNAcentral.